This 492-nucleotide ribosomal RNA is filed under the name uncultured bacterium. RNAcentral describes it as "partial 16S ribosomal RNA". It matches the Rfam family "Bacterial small subunit ribosomal RNA", at positions 29 to 507 of the family's 1533-position model. The record is from RNAcentral.
AGUGAACGCUGGCGGUAGGCCUAACACAUGCAAGUCGAACGGCAGCACAGUAAGAGCUUGCUCUUACGGGUGGCGAGUGGCGGACGGGUGAGGAAUACAUCGGAAUCUACUUUUUCGUGGGGGAUAACGUAGGGACACUGACGCUAAUACCGCAUACGACCUACGGGUGAAAGCAGGGGAUCUUCGGACCUUGCGCGAUUGAAUGAGCCGAUGUCGGAUUAGCUAGUUGGCGGGGUAAAGGCCCACCAAGGCGACGAUGCGUAGCUGGUCUGAGAGGAUGAUCAGCCACACUGGAACUGAGACACGGUCCAGACUCCUACGGGAGGCAGCAGUGGGGAAUAUUGGACAAUGGGCGCAAGCCUGAUCCAGCCAUACCGCGUGGGUGAAGAAGGCCUUCGGGUUGUAAAGCCCUUUUGUUGGGAAAGAAAAGCAGCAGGUUAAUACCCCGCUGUUCUGACGGUACCCAAAGAAUAAGCACCGGCUAACUUCGUG